UACGUAUGGGGCAAGCGUUAUCCGGAUUUACUGGGUGUAAAGGGGGCGCAGACGGCGAUGCAAGCCAGGAGUGAAAGCCCGGGGCCCAACCCCGGGACUGCUCUUGGAACUGCGUGGCUGGAGUGCAGGAGGGGCAGGCGGAAUUCCUGGUGUAGCGGUGAAAUGCGUAGAUAUCAGGAGGAACACCGGUGGCGAAGGCGGCCUGCUGGACUGCAACUGACGUUGAGGCCCGAGAGCGUGGGGAGCAAACAGG
This 253-nucleotide ribosomal RNA is filed under the name uncultured bacterium. Its description in RNAcentral is "partial 16S ribosomal RNA". It matches the Rfam family "Bacterial small subunit ribosomal RNA", at positions 524 to 776 of the family's 1533-position model. The record is from RNAcentral.